GUCGUGAGGAUAGUUGGGUUAAGUCCCGUAACGAGCGCAACCCUUGUCCUUAGUUACCAGCACGUUAUGGUGGGCGACUCUAAGGAGACUGCCGGUGACAAACCGGAGGAAGGUGGGGAUGACGUCAAGUCAUCAUGGCCCUUACGGCCUGGGCUACACACGUGCUACAAUGGUCGGUACAAAGGGUUGCCAAGCCGCGAGGUGGAGCUAAUCCCAUAAAACCGAUCGUAGUCCGGAUCGCAGUCUGCAACUCGACUGCGUGAAGUCGGAAUCGCUAGUAAUCGUGAAUCAGAAUGUCACGGUGAAUACGUUCCCGGGCCUU
RNAcentral lists this ribosomal RNA (322 nucleotides) under uncultured Pseudomonas sp. RNAcentral's name for it is "bacterial SSU rRNA". It matches the Rfam family "Bacterial small subunit ribosomal RNA", at positions 1062 to 1382 of the family's 1533-position model. Lineage: Bacteria; Pseudomonadati; Pseudomonadota; Gammaproteobacteria; Pseudomonadales; Pseudomonadaceae. The record is from RNAcentral.